UGGGGAAUAUUGGACAAUGGGCGAAAGCCUGAUCCAGCCAUGCCGCGUGUGUGAAGAAGGUCUUCGGAUUGUAAAGCACUUUAAGUUGGGAGGAAGGGCAGUAAGCGAAUACCUUGCUGUUUUGACGUUACCGACAGAAUAAGCACCGGCUACCUCUGUGCCAGCAGCCGCGGUAAUACAGAGGGUGCAAGCGUUAAUCGGAAUUACUGGGCGUAAAGCGCGCGUAGGUGGUUCGUUAAGUUGAAUGUGAAAGCCCCGGGGUCAACCUGGGAACUGCAUCCAGAACUGGCGAGCUAGAGUAGGGCAGAGGGUGGUGGAAUUUCCUGUGUAGCGGUGAAAUGCGUAGAUAUAGGAAGGAACACCAGUGGCGAAGGCGACCACCUGGGCUCAUACUGACACUGAGGUGCGAAAGCGUGGGGAGCAAACAGG
Molecule: ribosomal RNA, 429 nt
Filed under: Pseudomonadota bacterium
Lineage: Bacteria; Pseudomonadati; Pseudomonadota
Description: Proteobacteria bacterium partial 16S ribosomal RNA
Rfam family: Bacterial small subunit ribosomal RNA
Source: RNAcentral